RNAcentral lists this ribosomal RNA (292 nucleotides) under uncultured bacterium. RNAcentral describes it as "partial 16S ribosomal RNA". The record is from RNAcentral.
GGACUACUGGGGUAUCUAAUCCUGUUUGCUACCCACGCUUUCGUAGUUGAGUGUCAGUACUUGUCCAGGUCGCCGCCUUCGCCGCUGGUGUUCCUCCCGAUCUCUACGCAUUUCACCGCUACACCGGGAAUUCCACGACCCUCUCCAAGACUCUAGUCUCACCGUUUCUAGGGCACUUCUUGAGUUAAGCUCAAGGCUUUCACCCCAGACAAAUGAGACCACCUACCUACCCUUUACGCCCAAUAAUUCCGAGCAACGCUUGCACCCCUCGUAUUACCGCGGCGGCUGGCAC